RNAcentral lists this small RNA (474 nucleotides) under Pongo abelii (Sumatran orangutan). RNAcentral describes it as "processed transcript". Lineage: Eukaryota; Metazoa; Chordata; Mammalia; Primates; Hominidae. The record is from RNAcentral.
ACUUCCUAGACUCUUCCUCCUUCUCUUAAGUACGGGAUAGUUCUUUCUCUGAAAAUCUUCAGUCUUUUAGUUCCAGAUGGGUUCUCUGUGGUAAGAAUACAGGACAUGUAGAAGGCCCUAGGGGAAUGCUUUCUUCCCCAGAUCUUUGCCCUGUAGUAGGUUUCAGCUGAGCAAGGAUGAGUAGUUUUUCUGGUGUUUGGCCUCCUCUGUUGGGUGGAAAAAGCCUUUCUUCUCUAUUUUCAUAGUUAUAUAUGCUAUCAUAUGUCUGUUUUUCUCCUCUUGAAGUUUCCCUGAAACCUGGGCUCUUGAAGACGCAUCACUGGAGCAGAUGGAUAAUGGAGACUGGGGCUAUAUGGUGGACACUUGUAUACAACGUCUCUCACCACAUUGACGCGUUACCCGGAUUCCAUGCUUGGAGCUAUGUUUGGGGGGGACUUCCCCACAGCUCGAGACCCUCAAGGCAAUUACUUUAUU